Molecule: ribosomal RNA, 606 nt
Filed under: Agaricostilbomycetes sp. TY-260
Lineage: Eukaryota; Fungi; Basidiomycota; Agaricostilbomycetes
Description: eukaryotic LSU rRNA
Rfam family: Eukaryotic large subunit ribosomal RNA
Source: RNAcentral
AAAAGAAACUAACAAGGAUUCCCCUAGUAACGGCGAGUGAAGUGGGAAAAGCUCAACUUUGUAAUCUGGCUCUUUCAGAGUCCGAGUUGUAGUCUCGAGAAGCAUCAUCCGUCUCGGACCUUGGAUAUGUCUGUUGGAAAACAGCGUCAUAGAGGGUGACAAUCCCGUUUGUGCCAAGGACUCCCGUGGGCAUUGUGGUGUGCUUUCUAAGAGUCGAGUUGUUUGGGAAUGCAGCUCAAAUUGGGUGGUAAAUUCCAUCUAAAGCUAAAUAUUGGCGAGAGACCGAUAGCGAACAAGUACCGUGAGGGAAAGAUGAAAAGCACUUUGGAAAGAGAAUGAAACAGUAUGUGAAAUUGCUGGAAGGGAAACGAUUGAAGUUAGACUUGCGCUGGCCACAUUCAGCCUUUUAGGUGUAUUUGUGUGCCUUUGCAGGCCAGCAUCGGUUUGCUUCGAGGUAUAAGGACGUGCGGGAUGUGGCUGCCUCGGCAGUGUUAUAAACGCGCGUUGGAUGCCUAGUCGCAGACCGAGGAACGCAGCGCGCCGCAAGGCAAUGCUCUCGGGCAUCGAGCGCUUAGGAUGCUGGUAGAAUAGCUUUAACCGACCCGU